AAAAAUCUUCGGGACGGGGUGAAAUUCCCCACUGGCAGUGAAAGCCUGCGAGUCCGCUACAGAACUUUAACGGACAGAACUGGUGAAAUUCCAGAGCCAAUAGUUAGAGUCUAGAGGGGAGAAGAUCGUA
Molecule: non-coding RNA, 130 nt
Filed under: Candidatus Omnitrophota bacterium
Lineage: Bacteria; Pseudomonadati; Candidatus Omnitrophota
Description: Omnitrophica WOR FMN sequence
Rfam family: FMN riboswitch aptamer (RFN element)
About the family: The RFN element is a highly conserved domain that is found frequently in the 5'-untranslated regions of prokaryotic mRNAs that encode for flavin mononucleotide (FMN) biosynthesis and transport proteins.
Source: RNAcentral